GAUGAACGCUAGCGGGAGGCCUAACACAUGCAAGCCGAGCGGUAGAGUCUCUUCGGAGACUUGAGAGCGGCGCACGGGUGCGGAACACGUGUGCAACCUGCCUUUAUCUGGGGGAUAGCCUUUCGAAAGGAAGAUUAAUACCCCAUAAUAUACUGGAUGGCAUCAUCUGGUAUUGAAAACUCCGGUGGAUAGAGAUGGGCACGCGCAAGAUUAGAUAGUUGGUGGGGUAACGGCUCACCAAGUCAGCGAUCUUUAGGGGGCCUGAGAGGGUGAUCCCCCACACUGGUACUGAGACACGGACCAGACUCCUACGGGAGGCAGCAGUGAGGAAUAUUGGACAAUGGGUGAGAGCCUGAUCCAGCCAUCCCGCGUGAAGGACGACGGCCCUAUGGGUUGUAAACUUCUUUUGUAUAGGGAUAAACCUAGAUACGUGUAUCUAGCUGAAGGUACUAUACGAAUAAGCACCGGCUAACUCCGUG
RNAcentral lists this ribosomal RNA (479 nucleotides) under uncultured bacterium. RNAcentral's name for it is "partial 16S ribosomal RNA". It matches the Rfam family "Bacterial small subunit ribosomal RNA", at positions 28 to 507 of the family's 1533-position model. The record is from RNAcentral.